UCUCCUCUGGUGUAAUGGUAGCACAGGUGGCUCUAACCCACUUGGUCAGGGUUCGAAUCCUUGGGGGAGGA
Molecule: transfer RNA, 71 nt
Filed under: Bacteriophage sp.
Description: tRNA-OTHER
Rfam family: tRNA
About the family: Transfer RNA (tRNA) molecules are approximately 80 nucleotides in length. Their secondary structure includes four short double-helical elements and three loops (D, anti-codon, and T loops).
Source: RNAcentral